RNAcentral lists this ribosomal RNA (253 nucleotides) under uncultured bacterium. RNAcentral's name for it is "partial 16S ribosomal RNA". It matches the Rfam family "Bacterial small subunit ribosomal RNA", at positions 524 to 776 of the family's 1533-position model. The record is from RNAcentral.
UACGUAGGGUGCGAGCGUUGUCCGGAAUUACUGGGUGUAGAGAGCUCGUAGGUGGUUUGUCGCGUUGUUCGUGAAAACCGGAGGCUCAACCUCUGGCGUGCGGGCGAUACGGGCAGACUUGAGUACUGCAGGGGAGACUGGAAUUCCUGGUGUAGCGGUGGAAUGCGCAGAUAUCAGGAGGAACACCGGUGGCGAAGGCGGGUCUCUGGGCAGUAACUGACGCUGAGGAGCGAAAGCGUGGGGAGCGAACAGG